UAGGAUAAUCAACUAAAAUGC
Molecule: non-coding RNA, 21 nt
Filed under: Caenorhabditis elegans
Lineage: Eukaryota; Metazoa; Nematoda; Chromadorea; Rhabditida; Rhabditidae
Source: RNAcentral